GGGGAGGGACCUGCCUUGAUGAAAUGGUAAAAUCAAGGUUGAGUUUUUGAUAAAUUGACAAAAAGAGAUAUAAGGCCUUUGAUAACGACAAUUGGUAUAGAAAGUGAGGAAUGGAAGGCCAAGGAAUCUUAAUCAAGAUUUUAGUUUGAAUCUAAAUUGGUAUCAUGUUAAUACCUAACCCCUAGAAAAUUACCAAUGGGGGGGGGGGGGGAUAAAAGGUAGGAAACUUCAUAUAAAUUUUAGCUUGAAUGUUAGUUUUUAAAUCAAGAAGGUUAUGGAGAACCUUUUUGAUGUUUGCCAAAGUGGAAGAAUGAGUCGUUUAAAUUAGGAAACUAUUUUCAUGUUUUUACAUAGAAUAUGAAAAGAUGGACUAAUGGUUAAACCUAACUUAAAUAUAUUGUUAAACAUAAAAAAGAGGAGAUUAUUAAUGCAAUUCACCCUUGAUCAAAGUUGUAACCCAAUCAAAGCUUGACCAUGGUCUAGAGUUUUGAUGUUUGAGUAAUAUGUUAAGUGGUUAUUGGAAGUCCUCACAAAUCACAGAUUAAAUGUUAGGUAGUUGGUGUCCUAGAGGAGAAAACUCUAAGCCGAUGUGAAAGUUCUAUAAGAGUGAACUCUAUGCUGAGCAAGUGGAAGCCCUGGUAGUGAGGUUGGGCAAGACUAUGUCAUAAUAGUGAGGUUGAGCAAACGGAAGUCCUAGUGAUGAGGUUGGCAAUAGGUGUAAGUCCUAGAGACAAGGAGUCUCUUGGCAUAAGAAGUUUUAGUAGGUUGAGAUACUAGGCAACGUUAAACUCUCAGCAAGUUAAAUUGGCAUUGUUGGUAAUUACAUGGAUGGUUGUUCCAAUAGGUCUUAGGGUCAAUUCUCAGUGGGUGCAAAAUGCCUCAUUGGGUGCCUGACCUCCCAUGCACAGGGUCGUUUCUCGUGAUUUAUCUGUCUGUAUCUAGUCGGGGGACCGGCGACACUGAGUGCUUGAGGUGAGCGUUAUCAUCUUAUACUCUAAAAGGUUAAAGUCUUAGCAAGUUAAAGUUAACUUCUGGCAUAAUUGGUUGAAUGAUAUUUUGAGCAAUACGUUAUAUAGCUUUGUUAAAUGUAAGACUUUUAACCUUGUGUUGCAGUUCCGAUUCUCAUAGUGUGAAAAUAUAUUAAAAAUAUUUUGUCUAGAAUCAGAGUUUAGGCUAAAUGAGGGUUCUAGUUGACUAAAAUUAACAUUCUACUCGACUACAAAUAAUAUUCUAGUUUACUAAGAUGUUUAGUCAACUAAAAAUGACAUUCUAGUCGUGUAAGAUGGUUGGUUGACUUAAAUGGUUAGUGAUCAAAAGUGACUUUCUAGUCAACUAGAGACUUAGUCAACUCAAGAUUUGGUCUUAAAUUUUAUCUAGUCUAGUAGAUUAAAGUGACAUUUUAAUCGACUCAAACACAAUCAGUGGAAGAACAGGUUCAGAUCUAGACGAGGCGCUAUACGUGACAAAAGCUAGCCGAUUAGAAGCACUAUUAAUGAUUAACUUGGUCAGGUAACGUCGAACCUGGGGCGACCGGUCCGGCCCCACGAGAGUUUCCCAUCGGCCGCCGGGGUAAAUCGGGGAAAUGCAUAUGAAGAUCCAUUCUGACAGCCAACAUUCUCAAGUCCGCUAUCCAUUAAGGAGAAAAAUUCUCAAUAAUACGCUGUAGUCGAGUCUCGAACUCUAGAUCUCUGAUAUAUCACUCGAGGGCCUAACCAUGACACCUUGCCCCCCUCAGCUCACUAUUAAUGGACUAAGGCAACUAGUUGAUUAAAAAGUAGAUUGUAAUCAACUAAAGUAGGAAAAUAGCUUAUAUAAGUUGAUCUCAUGGAGAUUUUGAUACGUGAUUGGUUUCAAGGAGAGAGUUGUUGCAUUUUAGGACUAUCUUGAGCAACCUACAACGAGCAAUAAAAAAGGAAGCAACAAGUGUUUUUUUUUUAAAUUUUAGUUCUCUAAUUUUCAUUUCAGACUGUAGUUUUUUCUUUUGUUUUUGUUUUUGUAUUCUUAUAUUUCUUGUGUUGCGAUAAAAAUACGAAUUAUAAGCGGUUUAUUUGCCAUGAGAAGGUAUUCAAAAGGGAGAAAAGACACUAAUGUUAUCAGGGUGGAUCAUAGGUCGUGGAGUAGGAACUGGAGUUUCGAACUAAGUAAAAUCGGUGUUAUUGUUGUCUUUAUUUCAAUGUAUUAUUUCUUUUAUGUAUUUAUGUUGCACAAACUAACAAAGUGUAGUGACAAACAAUCAAACAAAUGUCAAAUUUAAGAUGUGACUUUUCACCCAUCUAGUUGUACAAUACAAUCCUAUAAAUUGGGUAGUCGAUUGAGUUAGCGAGUAAACUAGUAGUAGUUAAUUUGACACAAAAGUUGCAAUGGAUGAAUGACCUAGGGUUUAUUAGAGAAUAGUCAACUGAUGGUGGAAGAGUUGACUAAGGUAAUAGUUGACAAACUGAAGAUUGUCAACUAAUGAUGGAUCUAAUCGACUUAUCAAUGACAUUAGUGAUAGAAUAGCAUUAGAAAGUUAAAGUUGAAGAUGUAGAAGGCUGCAAAUGGAGAUUAAGAGGAGCAUUCAAAACCUGGUGAAAUAAUGAUUAUGAAAAUCUCUUGAGCCUUUCUAUUAUACUCAUGGCCUAUAUCUUCUUAGCUCUUACUUGUCUUGAUCUUGUAAUAUCAUUGUUGUAAGAGGUAUGUUCACCUCCAAAAGGUAUCCAAGAAGGAGAAAGAUAAUGAAUGAGUGACUCACUUUAUAGGUCGUGGAGUAGGAAUGGACAUUAUGAACCACAUUACAUUGUUGUGUAAGUGUUGAUAUGCGCUAAUAUGUAGUUAUGUUUUAAUUCUACUACAUAAUUUUGUGUUUGUAUGACCUAACUAAUACAUUAGUAAGAGUAAAAGUUUUAUUUACAAGCCAACUAUUAUUCACCCACUCUAGCCAUCUAGGCCAAUUUCCUCACAAUCCUAACAUUUCUUCCUUUUAUGCAAAUUAAGCUCCUUUUAGUAACUUCUUUCCUUACAUCGUGCUUCAUUUUACAUUAUUUAGGGCAGGAUUAGGGUUUUCAAUUUUUGUUUUUCUCUUCAAUACUUAAUUUUCUAUUUUUUCAAGGAGAGAAGUUCAUUUCCUAUAAACAUAGAGAUAUGUCAAACAUCAAUUAUUUAUAUUUUUUUUAUAUUAGUCAUGAAUGAAAUCAUUGGAUACAUCAAAGACAUGUUACCAUGGUGCAUGUUGUUUGCAGAUUGUUUUGAUCGGUGAGACACGUGAAGGAAGAAAUACUAAGCUCGAAUCUUGGCAGGAAAUACUAGAAGUAAAAGUUUUAGACUUAGUAGGGUAAAAACAUAAUACAUGAAGUUUAAGUUUAUUAACAUUAGACAUAGUAAAAUAAUUGUUAAUAUAGACAAGUUAGCUCUAUAAUUGUUAUUUGAAAAGGAUAGAGGAGUUAAUAAAGAUGUUUUACAUAGGAUACAAGUGGAUAAUUGAAAUGGAAGAGGGCGUCAGUUGUUCUUUGUGAUUGUAAAGUACUUUAAAAGUUUAAAGGAAAAUUUUACAAAAUAACAGCUACAUUUGUUAUAUUAUAUGAAGUUAAAUGUUGGCUAUGAAUCAAGCACACAAAUGAAAGAUGAGAGUCAUAAAAAUGAGGAUGUUGAGAUGGAUGUGCAAACAUAUGAGAAUGGUGAUAAAAAGAGAGAAAAUUAGAGAAAAAGUCAGGGUUGUGCCUAUUAAGAGAAAAUUCUGAUAGAUACGUUUAAGAUGUGUACUUAGGCAACUAAUAGAUACACUAAUUAGGCGAUAUGAGACCAUGAUAAAUAUGCAUAUUAAUUGAGGAAGAGAGAUCAAAGAAGACUUAGUUAGCAACGAUAAAAUAAGAUAAAAUUAAUUUAAAUAUAGAUAAGGACCAGGGGAUCGAGCUUAAUGGCGUAAGAGGAUCCAUAUUGCAAAGGAUAAAGAAGGCUUGGUUGUUGUGGUCAUAUAUCUUAAAUUGAUUUAGAAGUUGUAAUCCUUUAAGCCUAAUCUUGAGAUUGUUGAUCUUAAUAUUGAGUAAAUUGUUUAGAAGUUGUCAUCCUCUAAGCACAAUCGUGAGGAUUUAUUAUCUAUUUUCAAAAGCAAUCCAAAGAUCUAGAUAUGCUUAUCUUGUAAAGACUAACGUUGUCCAAUCUCUUAUAUAGUAAAAUUUUCCUUUGGGAAAGUAUCACACUAAUACAAUAUGGACUAUGAAGUAAAAAAAGUCUUUGAACAAUGCUAAGUUUGUCUGUUUAACAUUGUUUUAUUUCUAUUCUUUAUUUUUCACUUCUAAUAUUGUAAGUACGCUAGCAAUCUUUUUUUUUUUUAUUGCAAGUAUCUUAGUUUUACUUUUUGCUACAUUUUCCCAUACUAAUCUCAUAUCAAGCUCAUGUACCAAUCUCUAACAUUUUUCUUGAGUUUUGUGAUUGUUUAUUAAGAAUUUUUGUGAAUUAUCUAUUCACCUCUCUCUAAAUGAUCCUUUUGAUCUGAUCAUUAGUAAUUUGUAAUAUGACAAGUGCUUUUGAUACCACUUGAUCUUUUGAAAACCAUAUCAAUGUUGGCCAAAAUUCUCUUUAUCAUACCACCACAUGUAGAUCUAAACUUUGUGUCUUUAGAAUGCAAAAUUGCCUCCGCCACAUGGUUGAAUGGUAGAUUUUCUUCAUCUCCCUUGGUAGAAUAGCACAAUCACAAAAAAGAAGAGAAAUGUAACGUGGAUCGAUGUAAAGCCUAUCUAUAGUGAGAAUCCAAUUCUAAUAUGAUAAAAAGGUAUAAUGAUAACUGAGACAGAUAGUGCGCUCCCACCUCUUGUAUAAGAGAUCUAUCAAUAAACCUAUUCCUUUUAAUACCAAUUACAAAAAUGACAGAGAACAUCGUCUUUCCUGAAUGACCAAUUCUCCGGUCUCUUCUCACUAUGGUCUCUUAUAGCCUCUACAUGCACCGAUGGCAUCUCAUAAGUUUUAGAAUGCUUCACAAGUCUAGAUGAAAAAUAUCCUUAGUCAUCUUAUAUUUGAUAGACUUUUUCAAUUCUAAAUUUGUUUAGCCAUUUUCUUUAGUUUUCUAAUUUAGCUUUGCAUUUAUCCCAAUAUUGUGAUAAUCAACCGCACACAUCACCAUAAAUUUGGAAAUGAUGGCCAAGCUCCUUUGCUGCCCAUCAUCAUCUUUUAAGGCCCCAUCAGUACUGAUCCUGACCAACAUUACCAACUUUAAGGACAUUGUCUAAAUGUGCAAUGCUAAUCCUUAAACUUGGUUACUGCGGCGGCCAAGCUCAAGCAUUGGGGAGCUCUUCUGCUGAUGAUAACCUAUCUUAAACUUCGUCAAGUUCCAACAUUCCAAUAACUUUAAACUAGGAUUUCUAGAUGAUUUGGCUAGUUGGGCCUUUAACUAGAUUGCUCCCCAUAGGUGGAAACCAAACAAUUGAAUUAAUGGAAGAGUUGGCUAGUUGGGCCUUUAAUGCUUAACAGUGUAUUUAACAAUGAUUUUCAGCUCUCUAAAUUGAGUAAGUUUGAUAUUGGAAAUGGAAAAUGAGGCCCUUUGACCCUAUUAUCUAUAUAUAUAUAUAUAUAUAUAUAUAUAUAUAUAUUACCGUAUCUGUAUAUAUUAAUUAUACCUAAUUAUAGUUUACUAAGGUUGAUUAUAUAAAUAUGGUUCACUUUUCAAUAAAGUUAUUAUGAAUUCUUUUUUAUCUUAAACAUGGUAUCAUAGCAGAAGAAGAGCUGUCCACGUAUGAAAAAGCCGCCCAUUCUUCUUCGUCAACACAUCACGCGAAUCUCCUUGCGUUCGCUGCCCAACUGUUCACUUCUCGCGUGCGGCAUGGGACUUGGUGUUGGUCUUCUUCUCGCUCUCGCUCUCGACGCGAUGCUAGGUCUCCGUUGUCUCCUCGCUCUCGAUGCAGUGCUAGGUCUUCGUCUUCUUCUCACGUUCAACUCGGUGCCAUGUUUCGAUCUUCUCGCGCUUGUAGUUGCGCUCGUCACUGAUUUAGACAGAAGAUCUGGCCACCUCAAUCAUUUCUUCUCCUUCGAUUUCCUUCAAGAUCCGGGUUUUGCAAUCUUCCUAGAUUGUCUUUCCUGCCGCGCCCCUUCUCUUGGAUUUGCCGUCACCUACGACGACAACAAUGACAGGCAUGUGGUGAUAUAGUUACGAAGGGCACGAGCCUCUGAAAGUCGUCUCGUCAACGACCUUGGUCUCAACAAUGAAUUUUGGUUGCAAAAGUGUUCGUGUUAACAACUCCACGAUCGUUUUCUAUUUCUUCCUUUGCUGUUGCCUCACACCGCCACCUCUAGCCCUAACGCAGGCAAGAGAAAAAUAGAGAAGUCUAAGAAUUCUGCUCUGAGUAGCCAUUGCAUUUUGAUCUUCCUUUGAUAGAAAUCAGAGAAUUCUUCCUUCGUCUCUUAUUUGACUUCCUUUGGGAUAAAAGCUUAUGGCUGAAAAUAAGCCCUCUAUUAUGGCUGAAAAUAAGCCCUCUAUUGUGACAGAUGUGGUGCCAGUGAUGCCUAAAAUCACGAACUAUAAGUUAAAUGGUUCAAACUAUUUGGAUUGGAGUAAGAUUGUUCAUCUUUGUCUAUAAAGUAUUGACAAAGAUGGUCAUUUGACUGAUAACCCUCCUUAAGAUGAUUUGAAGUAGACAUGGCUUAAGUGAGGAUGCUCAGUUUUUCCUUCAAAUUCAAUGGUAGCAAAAGGUGGAAUCCGCCACCCCAGCAGCCCCACACGGUCGGUGCCACGACCAUCCAUGAGGAGGUAAAUCGGGAAGCUGUAGUUGGCCAGUGUGGAGGAGGGCUUUUUUUCCUUGACUUUGCCGAGAUUCGAACCCUUAUCCUAUGGUAGUAACUCUGCUCCGCACUAGCCAACUCAACCUUGCUCCGGGGGCUAUUCCUUCAGAUUCAAAAUUGUAUUGAUAGCGUGGUAAUUGGUUUGAUCAAACUAAUGGAUUACUUGAAAUUCUAUACUUUGGAAAAGGGAAUCUCUCUCGUAUGUAUGAAGUUUGCAAAGCAUUUUACCAUGUGGAAAAACAAGAUGGGCCUCUAAUCAAUUAUUUUAUGGCAUUCAAGAAAACAUAUAAGAAACUUAAUAUGCUAUUAUCCUCCAGCCCUGAUGUGAAGGUUCGACAACAUUAACGAGAGUAGAUGACUAUCAUGAGCUUCCUCGCUGGCCUAUCUCUUGACUUUGAGUCAGCUAAGUCAGAAGUUCCCUCUGGCUCUGAGGUCUCCUCUUUACAAGAUAUAUUUAGUCGCAUUAUCUGUACAAAAAGUAUUGCAUCUGUUCCCCUUAGUGAUGCUUUAGUAAGUCGUAAUACUAAUUAUGUGCCUAGUAGUCAUAAUGGAAACAAAGGAGGAGGUUCCCAGGACUUUCAAACUCGAAUGCCAAAUUCUGAUGGUAUUGUGUGCAAUUACUGUCGUAAGCUAGAGCUUCAGUAAAAAAUCAGCAAAAACACUUGGCCCAUAUUGCAUCCACUAAUGAUGUCUCCGAUAAAUUGGUUCUUUUCUAUGCGGAUGGAUUUGCCAAGUUCUCAUUAUAUCAGGAAUCACUCAAGUCUUCAUCUUCCUUUGUCACUGCUAUUGCUGAUUCAAGUAAACGCAACGCAUGUCUUGUUUCCUUAUCCUCCAAAUAGGUCAUUGAUUUUGGUGUCACAGAUCAUAUGAUAGAUAAUUCUAGUCUCUUUUCUAUUUUUCAAUUCAAAGCUAACACUGCUAUUGUUACUUUAGCUGAUGGGUCUCUAUCUUGUGUUUGUAGGUCUGACACAAUCAAUUCUACCCCUUUGCUUCCUUUGUCCUUUAUCUUAUAUUUACCUAAUUUAUCCUUUAAUUUUCUCUCUGUUUGUCAAAUAACUCAUAAUAUUAACGGUUGCAUCACAUUUUUUCCUUGAACAUUGCUUAUUUUAGGAUCUUUUGACGAAGAAGAUUAUUGGUAAAGGACAUAAGUCUGGAGGCCUCUACAUCCUUGAUACACCACUCCAAAUUAUUUUGCUUGCUCAAGUAUUACUUCUUUUGAGGCUCAUUAUAGGUUGAGACAUCCAUCUCUUCCUUUUCUCAAAAACUGUCCACAAUAUGAUAAAAUGUUUUAUUAGAUUGUGAGUCGUGUCAGUUUGCAAAACAUCACUGUCUUAGUUCAAGUCCUAGAAUAAAUAACAUUCUACUAUUCCUUUUGAAUUAGUACAUUCUGAUAUUUGGGGUCCUUAUCCUAUUUUGUCUAAACCUGGUUUUAGGUAUUUUGUUACUUUUGUGGAUUAUUGUUCUCAUGUAACUUGGUUAGAUUUAUGAAAAAUUAUUCUGAGUUAUUUCCUCUAUUUUGUGCAUUUUGUGCUGAGAUUAAAACUCAGUUCAAUGCUGUCCAUCUGUAUUUUACGAAGUGAUAAUGCUAAAGAAUAUACGCCCAGUUCCUUCUAGUCUUAUACGAGUCAGAAUGACAUGCUUCAUGAAGCUUCUUGUGUUGAUACUUCAUCCCAAAAUGGUGUGGCUGAACAUAAAAACAAGUAUCUUCUUGAAACUGCAUGAGCCCUUUUAUUUCAAAUCAAUGUUCCCAAACAUUUUUUUUGAGCUGAUACAGUUUGUACAUCAUAUUUUCUUAUUAACUGCAUGCCAUCCUCUGUUCUUCAUGGUGAGAUCCCUUACAAAAUCUUUUUUCCCAAUAAAUCGUUAUAUCCUAUUAACCCUAGGAUAAUUGGCAGACUUGUUUUUUCAAGAUGUUCGUCGACAUGUUACUAAAUUAUAUCUCAAGUCUUUGAAGUGUAUCUUUCUUGGUUAUUCUUGUUUUUAGAAAGGUUAUAGAUAUUAUUGUCCAAUAUUAACAAAUAUCUUGUCUUAAUUGAUGUUACUUUCAUGGAAGCCACCUUAUUUCUCAUCCUCACCUAUCCUGACUCAUCAAAGGGAGGAUGAUGAUUUAUUGAUAUAUUCUAUCACAUCCUUCGUACUCGUCCCGGAAUCGGCUCCUGUCAAAUGUCCUAUUAUUCAAGUCUACUUUAGGCGUCAACCUCUUGAUUCAUGUCCUGCAUCUACUACUUCACCACCGGAUCGAUUCCCGAGUGAUGAUCUUCCUAUUGCAAUACGCAAAGGUAAACACUAGUGUACUUAUCCUACUUCUUUGGUUUCUUAUAAUGACUUGUCAUCUUCCUCUUGUUCUUUUAUUACUUCACUUGAUUCUAUCUCUAUUCCUAAAAUUGUUCGUGAGGCCAUAACUCAUCCUGGUUGGAAAGAUGUAAUAAUAGAGGAGAUGAAUGCUUUAGAUGACAAUGACACUUAGGACUUGAUUGAUCUACCUUCAGAAGAAUGUGCUAUUGGAUGCAAAUGAGUAUUCCUAGAUCAGUUGCCAGAUUAAAAUCCCGUCUUGUUGCUAAAGGCUAUGCUCAAACCUAUGGUGUAGAUUAUUCUGACACUUUUUCUCCUGUUACAAAGUUGACAUCUGUUUGCUGCUACUCAUAUUUAACCUUUACAUCAACUUGAUAUUUUCCUGAUUUUGUUGCUUAGGGGGAUUCAGGGCGAGUUUAUUGUCUUCGAAAAGUUUUGUAUGGUUUGAAAUAGAGUUCUCGUGCUUGGUUUGGAAAAUUUAGUCAAGCUGUUGAAAAAUUUGGUAUGAUGAAAAACAAGUCUAACCAUUUUGUGUUCUACAAGUAGUCAAUAGUGGGUAUCAUUCUAUUAGUUGUGUAUGUAGAUAUUGUUAUCACUAGAAGUGAUAUUAUGAGAAUCUCAUCUCUUAAAUCUUUCAUUCAUACUCAGUUUCAUACGAAAGACUUAGGGGUACUAAAAUAUUUCUUGGGUGUUGAGGUUAUGAGGAAUAAAAAACAUAUAUUUCUAUCUCAGAGAAAAUAUGUCCUUGACUUACUAACUGAGACAGGAAAAUUGGGUACAAAGCUUUGUAGUGCUCUAAUGACUCAGAACAUGCACCUCACAUGAGAUAGGAAACUAUUUGAACAUCCUGAGAGAUAUCAAAGGUUGGUUGGGAAGUUGAAUUACCUUAUUGUAACUCGUCCAGAUAUUGCAUAUUCGUUAGUGUUGUCAGUCAUUUCAUAUCAUCUCUAACUGUUCAUCAUUAGACAAUAUUAGAACAAAUUUUGUGUUACUUAAAGGGAGCACCCAGACAGGGUAUCGUAUAUAAAAAUCAUGGGCAUGAUCAUAUUGAAUGUUUUUCAGAUAUAGAUUGAGUAGGUUCUUAAAUGGAUAGAAGAUCUACUUUAAGCUAUUGUAUCUUUGUUGGAGGAAAUUUAGUCUCAUGGAAGAGUAAGAAGCAAAACAUUGUAUCACGAUCCAGUGCUGAGUCAGAAUAUAGGGCUAUGAUAUAGUCUGUGUGAGAUAAUGUGAUAUAUCAACUCUUGACUGAAGUAGGACUAAAAAUUUCACUACUAGCAAAGCUAUGAUGUGACAACCAAGCAACUCUUCAUAUUGCAUCGAACCUUAUGUUUCAAGAGCGAAUUAAGCACAUUGAAAUUAAUUGUCAUUUUGUUCGUGAGAAAAUUCAUCAAAACUUGAUUUCUACACGAUAUUUGAAGACUGAAGAACAACUCAGAGAUAUCUUCACAAAAGCUUUAAAUGAAGUUCGAGUCGAUUAUCUUUAUAACAAGUUAGGUAUGAUUAAUAUCUAUGCUCCAAUUUGAAGAGGAAUAUUAUAUAUAUAUUUUACCAUAUUUGUAUAUAUAUAAGUUGCUAUAUUAUUUGUAUAUAUUAGGUAAUAUAUCUAUCAAUUAGGUAAGUUGUCAAUUAGCCUAAUUACCUAAUUAUAGUUUCUGAUUGAUUCCUUUUUUAUCUUAAAGUAACAGACCCAAAUAUCUUACUAAUGCCUGAUGACUUUAAGGACAGGCUCUUUAGGAAAGCAUAAUUUAUCCUAGAAUCUUAUUGUAUGCAUAAAAACAUUUAUUCACGAAUCCAAAAUACAGACCACAUAGGCUCUCAGGUAGUUUUCAAACUUUACACAUCCCCAAGUAAAUACUUCCAAAUUACUUCACACUUAUAUUUAAUUGUUUUCAUUCAACUUAGCAUCAUCCAAUGACCUAUAAUACAUUUUAGAAUUUCAAAUAUAGGUAAUCGAAAUCUGCUGGCUCAAACUUGUCAAACGUCAAAAUGACAUGAUAUAAUGAAUCACAAUAGAGAAACGAAGAUUCUUCAACUACUAACUCAUGCAAACACAUGAUACACUAGUCGAUAUGAGAACAAUCUUGUUCCAACUAAUUGUUAGAACUUUGACAUAAAACAAGAUUGCAAACCUUGAUUACAUUUGACAAAAAUAGUGAAAAUAGAUUGUUUAACUAAACUUUAGAUCUUGAACUAUUCUUGCUGAAGUAAUUUAGUUUCUAAGAGGUAUUUCUACUGUAUUUAAAUUGCAUCAGGGUGCUAGUUAAGACAAGUUAUAUUGCCAACUAAAGACAGAGAAUUGUAGCAAUCAAGAUUUCACCAUGCAAAAUUAUUGGAAACAUUGGAAUAUGUUAUUAGGUCGAAACUAUGCUUGUGUCAACUUGUUGCCGUAGGAAAUUUAUUUAGUUUUAUAUUACAAGGAAGUUGCUUCUAUUGUUUUUUCACUUCAUUCUUUGAAUAAUGUUCCAUUUUUUUUGUUUUAGAUUCAUUAUUGUAGAACUAAUAGCACUGAUAUUCAACUUCUUAUGAUAGUGCCAUAUAAUAUUAAUUAUUUUCUAAAAAAAAUCUAAGACAAUUAAUUAUAUACUUGGCCAGUUUUGAUCAAGAGAAACAAAUCUAAUAAAAACAUUAUGAUAAAGUUUUUAGAGGAAUAGAACUAGGUGGCAAGCAAAAAAUUGAUUGUCCCAAUGAUUCAACCGUUUCACUUGGGUUGAUUCUAGUCUUUUGAGCCAAACAUAUAACUGAUGUUUCUCUACAAUCAGCACGUUAGUGCAGAGGAUUUAUGUAAACCCUUUCUAUGUUGAGCAUCCUUAAUGAAAGACUUGCAAAUAUGGUUGAACAAAAAAUUAAGGGAGAACACUUAAAGAAGUUUCCUUUCCUCCUGAUUUAGACUUUUAAUGGUGCAUGGAACCAAUAGAAUGGUUUCUUUUUCAUGGUUGCAAAUGCAUCUUUAAUGUACCCAUUGAAUUAAGGUUGUUCCUUUUCAAGAGCAGUGCCCUUUUAAUAAUAAAUAAUUUGGAAAUAAAUCAUUAUUUAAAAUUAAGAGUUAAAUGGAUACGUGAUUGUGAAUAUCAUAAAUCAGAUAACACCAACACUAUAUUUAUGAAUGUAUGAAUAUAAGAUGAUUACUAUUUAUUGAAUAGUAGCAUUGUGGAGACAUUUCUUUUUAUCUUUCAUGCCCACCUUUUGUAAUUUGGGGGGCAUUUGGAGGAUGUGAAGAAAUUUCUUCUUACCACCUUGAAUAACUUGUGUGUCUAAGAUAUGCUCAACUGUACAUAAUAAGAUGCAGUUUAAUAUCUUUUACUUUUUAGUUCAUUUACGACAACUUGUUGAGUUAAAGGUACCAGACACUCAUAAGCUACAGUCUAUUAGAGACAUUCAUCCUUAAUUUGAAAGUAACAAACCAUUUAACCAUUUAACUGAGAAAAUAAUUCAAAGAUGGUUAUAACUAAUGGAAUGAAAUAGCUUUCAGAUAAGUUCUCACACGCACAACAAAGUACUAUAUUUAUAUGGAUUAAUGACAAGUUAUCUGCCUUUUACAUGUUUACAGUGAUGCGUGGAGAACUUCAUAAAAGAAUAUAUGGGUUCUUAACUUUAGUUAGAGCAGUACUAUAUUUAUGCCUACACACCCGAUUCCCGAAAAUAGUUUUGUUCUCAGUUAUAUACUGAAAUUUUUGUUAUUUAGUAGGCAUCUUAAUUGCUCAUUUGAUUUUCAAUGCAAGAAGAUGCAACAAAUCUUUGACGCGAAAACCAAUUGAAAAUCAAAUUAUUUGCUCAUACCUGUGUUUGUAGGUGGACUUGAAAUGAUUUGGUUGGCAGCCCUGAACUCAAAAAGAAAUAAUAAAAGAGUAUACCAAAGUAAACUUUGUAACACAAUUAUCUGACCCAUGAAGUUUGCAGCUUCGUCACCAUACAUGCUGUUCAAUAAUGGGAUCCCUACAAUCAAGGUGUUGGGUAGUGUGGAUAAAGAGAAUGCAGUGAUCAGCCAAUCAAAAUUCCCUCUAGACCAUACACUGCAUAGGAUUGUAGAUAGGAACAUGGCUAACAACUUCUGUAAUAUGUCCGCAGAUAUAAGUUUAACAUCCAUUUGAUAGGGAUUGUUGGUUGAGAUGACAUGGAAGGAAAGCAGAGGAAUUGAGAAUCUUGACACAAAUUUGUUAAUUCCAGAGCACUGCUCAGGUGUGAAUAAUUUCCACAGCUUAAUAGAGAGAUAAGCCAAGAUCAUUGCAGCAUACAAUGGUACUAUCGCCUCGACGACGUGGUAGGCAUUUGUCCAAGUGAUCAUAUUGGCUAUAAGUUUUUCAACAAUGGCAGAUGAUUAAAUGUUCCUGUGCAUGUGCAACACUUUAUAAAGACGGUUUACAGGGAUUAAGGCAAGAAGAAUAAAGAAGUGAAUUGCAGACGAAGAAAGGGAGUGAUAUGUUACCUCACUGUACAAGUUAUUGAUGAUGGCAAAUAAGGUAAAAGGAGGAGAAUAAGUGCAACAUUAAGCUUGCUUUACAUGGCUGAACAUCUAUCCAAAAUUGAUAGAUCCUUCUUUUCUAAAGCCUUUCACUUGCAGUUUUGUUUGUUUCUCCAUAAUGAUGUCAUGGGCCAUAGACUUUAUUCUUCUGCUUCAUACACCUAUAAUGGCAGACCAGCUGAUUAUGACUACAGGAUCUGUGAGGACUUCAGCUCAAAAAUUAACCCAAUUUAAGUUAUAAGUUGGGCCAAGUAUCAUUUUGCCAUAGAACUGUCAAAGUAUCAGUUUACCUAUAGUACCAUUGGUAAUAACGCUGUGUCCAUGCUAUACCUCUUAAGAAAUGUAUGAAUUCUAGAAGAAUAGUGUUAUUUUGCCUUCGCGUAGAAUUUUAUUAAGAGUUAUAUUUUGACAGAUUCUAAUAUUA
Molecule: long non-coding RNA, 13922 nt
Organism: Zingiber officinale
Lineage: Eukaryota; Viridiplantae; Streptophyta; Magnoliopsida; Zingiberales; Zingiberaceae
Exons: 2
Source: RefSeq, a predicted model, not a curated record